Molecule: transfer RNA, 101 nt
Organism: Daedalea quercina L-15889
Lineage: Eukaryota; Fungi; Basidiomycota; Agaricomycetes; Polyporales; Fomitopsidaceae
Rfam family: tRNA
About the family: Transfer RNA (tRNA) molecules are approximately 80 nucleotides in length.
Source: Rfam
UCCUGCAUAGCUCAGUUGGUAGAGCGCGUCACUAGUACAUCAAUAUCGUGGAAAUAGGUCACGUAAUGACGAGGUCAGUCGUUCAAGUCGGCUUGUAGGAA